UUAUAAUUUGAAUUUGGGAAAUAAAAUUCGAGCAAAUGGGCACUUUUUUAAAUUUGUUCAAUGUCUUAUUGAUGCAGAAUAUGAAAAAAGUCGCGAGUUUGCUUUACUCUUUCAAAAUGGUGGUAAUGGAAAUCAGACACAGAAGAAGAAAUUACGUGAUCGCUCAAAAAAAAUAAUGGACGCAAUGGAUCUUUUUGAAAGAGGUGAAAUAGAUAUACAGGGAUUUCUGACAUGCACUGUUUCCUUAGCUGACCGCUUUUCAAAGCAGGACUUCUUUGAAGGGGUGGACAAUGAAAGCAAUUUAACUGGAAUGUCUUCUGAUAUGAAAUCUUCCACAUCGUCACUUUCAUCGAAUGCUUCUCAUUCAAGUCAGUCAUCUGAUAAAUCAUUGGUUCAAAUGAAUCCAUGCAAUGUGUGCCUAUGUAACCCAAAGUCUGUGUUGUUGCGCCCGUGCAAUCACGUAAACAUUUGUGGUACAUGUUGGGAUCAAAUUGUGGCCCACAACCAAGCAAAAAAAGAGUUGGAAGAAAAUGAAAAUAUAAAGCCAAAAUGUCCAAGUUGCAACCGAGAAGUCGAAGAGGCCAUACGCAAUGUUUUUAUUUACAAUUAACUUGUGUAAGUUAAGAACGACAAAAUUUAAGAAAACUUCUAUUAUGAUUUCUGUGUAUUUGGACUAUUGCACAUUUUUUAAUUUCAAUAAAAUCAUGUUAUAAAAUGAAAUGCUGUCAAAAAAAUAUAAGUGUAUUUUACAUGCGAAA
Long non-coding RNA from Drosophila miranda, 758 nucleotides. RefSeq lists it as uncharacterized. Lineage: Eukaryota; Metazoa; Arthropoda; Insecta; Diptera; Drosophilidae. The record is from RefSeq and is a predicted model, not a curated record. The transcript is spliced from 2 exons.